GUGCUCAUUUUGGUAGCACAUAUACAAAAAUUGGAACAAUACAAAGAUUAACAUGGCCCCUAUGCAAGGAUGACACAAAAGUUUGUGAAGCACUCCAUAUUUGG
Small nuclear RNA from Onychomys torridus (southern grasshopper mouse), 104 nucleotides. NCBI's taxonomy places the organism in Eukaryota, Metazoa, Chordata, Mammalia, Rodentia, Cricetidae. The record is from RefSeq and is a predicted model, not a curated record.